CUUAUUGGGAGGUGGGAAGCUGAAUCUAUGAUCUAACCAAGGCUACCUGACAUUCCACAAGAAGAUGGUGUGGGAGUUUCAAGCUCCCCAGACAAGCCCAGGCUGGGCUCCUGUAGUCACAAGUGUGCACAUCACAUACCUGAUCGGUGGGCCUUUAUUAACAACAGAAACUGAAGCAACCAGUGUGUAUUACAGUGACAGAGAAAACAGCCAGCUCCUCUGUGCUGUCAUAACGACACUGAAGUACAACUAAGAAACCUGGUCACGGGAUAUUAAAGACAACUUUAAAAAGG
Long non-coding RNA from Mastomys coucha (southern multimammate mouse), 293 nucleotides. RefSeq lists it as uncharacterized. NCBI's taxonomy places the organism in Eukaryota, Metazoa, Chordata, Mammalia, Rodentia, Muridae. The transcript has 2 exons. The record is from RefSeq and is a predicted model, not a curated record.